Long non-coding RNA from Pollicipes pollicipes, 281 nucleotides. RefSeq lists it as uncharacterized. NCBI's taxonomy places the organism in Eukaryota, Metazoa, Arthropoda, Thecostraca, Pollicipedomorpha, Pollicipedidae. The transcript has 3 exons. The record is from RefSeq and is a predicted model, not a curated record.
UCGAACCUGCUGAUCUCCAAGGUGGAGGCCCGUUCGGAGGAGUCGGACGACGUCAAGCCGUACACGCACCAGCGCCAGCUGGAGAAGGUGGUGGUGCCGCUGGGGGACGACCUGCGUCGCGUCCGAGACAAAUACAUGGAGGUAGUUCGGACAUUCUUGUGCAGACUGAUUCAGCUGAAGUUGAUCUACACCAGGGAUGAUACGACGUUGACCAAGUAUCAGCUUCUGAGAGCUCGCGAUGCCUUCAAGCAGUCGCGGCCGGCCGGGAUGGCGGCGCGCCA